AUUGAACGCUGGCGGCAUGCCUUACACAUGCAAGUCGAACGGCAGCACGGGUGCUUGCACCUGGUGGCGAGUGGCGGACGGGUGAGUAAUACAUCGGAACAUGUCCUGUAGUGGGGGAUAGCCCGGCGAAAGCCGGAUUAAUACCGCAUACGAUCUACGGAUGAAAGCGGGGGGCCUUCGGGCCUCGCGCUAUAGGGUUGGCCGAUGGCUGAUUAGCUAGUUGGUGGGGUAAAGGCCUACCAAGGCGACGAUCAGUAGCUGGUCUGAGAGGACGACCAGCCACACUGGGACUGAGACACGGCCCAGACUCCUACGGGAGGCAGCAGUGGGGAAUUUUGGACAAUGGGCGAAAGCCUGAUCCAGCAAUGCCGCGUGUGUGAAGAAGGCCUUCGGGUUGUAAAGCACUUUUGUCCGGAAAGAAAUCCUUGGCCCUAAUACGGUCGGGGGAUGACGGUACCGGAAGAAUAAGCACCGGCUAACUACGUG
Molecule: ribosomal RNA, 486 nt
Filed under: uncultured bacterium
Lineage: Bacteria
Description: partial 16S ribosomal RNA
Rfam family: Bacterial small subunit ribosomal RNA
Source: RNAcentral